This 423-nucleotide long non-coding RNA is filed under the name Rattus norvegicus (Norway rat). RNAcentral describes it as "long non-coding RNA NONRATT007198". The record is from RNAcentral. Lineage: Eukaryota; Metazoa; Chordata; Mammalia; Rodentia; Muridae.
CAGCUGAAGAGGAGACCCAACUUUCCUGUUGGGGCCAUGAGGCUGCAGCUGAGAGGGCCCAUGCUUAUAUGACACUGGUAGGUUUCUGUGACCAACAACUCCGAAAGGUAGAAGAGAGUGCAUCCACUGCCUCACAGAAGAUAAGUACAGAACUGGAAGGAUAUCCAGCACUUGUGGUGGAGAAAAUGUUGAGAGCGUUAAAGUUGAACUCUUCUGAAGCCAGGCUGAAAUUUCCUAGAUUACUUCAGAUUAUAGAACAAUAUCCAGAAGAGACCGUAAACAUAAUAAUAAAAGAGAUUUCAUCCAUUCCUUGCUGGCAGUUCAUUGGCUGGAUCGGCCACAUGGUUGCCUUACUGGACAAAGAGGAAGCUAUUGCGGUGCAGCAUACCGUGGAAGAAAUUGCUGAUAACUAUCCACAGGCCA